Molecule: transfer RNA, 85 nt
Filed under: Felis catus (domestic cat)
Lineage: Eukaryota; Metazoa; Chordata; Mammalia; Carnivora; Felidae
Rfam family: tRNA
About the family: Transfer RNA (tRNA) molecules are approximately 80 nucleotides in length. Their secondary structure includes four short double-helical elements and three loops (D, anti-codon, and T loops). Further hydrogen bonds mediate the characteristic L-shaped molecular structure. tRNAs have two regions of fundamental functional importance: the anti-codon, which is responsible for specific mRNA codon recognition, and the 3' end, to which the tRNAs corresponding amino acid is attached (by aminoacyl-tRNA synthetases). tRNAs cope with the degeneracy of the genetic code in two manners: having more than one tRNA (with a specific anti-codon) for a particular amino acid; and 'wobble' base-pairing, i.e. permitting non-standard base-pairing at the 3rd anti-codon position.
Source: Rfam by way of RNAcentral
GCCUGAGUGGCUCAGUCAGUUGAGCAUCUGACUUUGGCUCAGGUCAUGAUCUCACGGUUUGUGGGUUCGAGCCCCACGUUGGGCU